RNAcentral lists this ribosomal RNA (253 nucleotides) under uncultured bacterium. RNAcentral's name for it is "partial 16S ribosomal RNA". It matches the Rfam family "Bacterial small subunit ribosomal RNA", at positions 524 to 776 of the family's 1533-position model. The record is from RNAcentral.
UACAGAGGGUGCAAGCGUUAAUCGGAAUUACUGGGCGUAAAGCGCGCGUAGGUGGCCAAUUAAGUCAAAUGUGAAAUCCCCGAGCUUAACUUGGGAAUUGCAUUCGAUACUGGUUGGCUAGAGUAUGGGAGAGGAUGGUAGAAUUCCAGGUGUAGCGGUGAAAUGCGUAGAGAUCUGGAGGAAUACCGAUGGCGAAGGCAGCCAUCUGGCCUAAUACUGACACUGAGGUGCGAAAGCAUGGGGAGCAAACAGG